GGGAUGGGGGCUCCAAUGGUGCACCAGUUGUCACGCCAGUGGCAUAGCUGGGUAGCCAAGAGCCUUCUGGAUAAGCGCUGAAGGCAUCUAAGCGCGAAGCCAUCCUCAAGAUUAGAUAUCCCAUCCAGUUAAUGGAGUAAGGCCCCAUGUAGACCACAUGGUUGAUAGGCCGGGAGUGCAAGCGCGGCGACGCGCUGAGCUGACCGGUACUAAUAGGCCGAGGGCUUGACCUAA
RNAcentral lists this ribosomal RNA (234 nucleotides) under Clostridiaceae bacterium. RNAcentral describes it as "partial 23S ribosomal RNA". It matches the Rfam family "Bacterial large subunit ribosomal RNA", at positions 2694 to 2925 of the family's 2925-position model. The record is from RNAcentral. Lineage: Bacteria; Bacillati; Bacillota; Clostridia; Eubacteriales; Clostridiaceae.